UUGAGUUUUUGAUUUUAAACACUGCCUACAUCCUGUAUGUGUUUUGCAUCCGAUACAGUUGUAGGAGUCGUUUGCAGUCAGAGAUUUCACA
Non-coding RNA from Drosophila simulans, 91 nucleotides. Lineage: Eukaryota; Metazoa; Arthropoda; Insecta; Diptera; Drosophilidae. The record is from Rfam.